This 120-nucleotide small nucleolar RNA is filed under the name Octodon degus (degu). RNAcentral's name for it is "Small nucleolar RNA SNORA25 (ENSODEG00000020733.1)". Lineage: Eukaryota; Metazoa; Chordata; Mammalia; Rodentia; Octodontidae. The record is from RNAcentral.
AAGUCUCCAAAGUGCAAAGGUAUUAAAUAAAAAAGUAUUAAUGAUAUGAGUGAAGAUUGCAGUUCUCCAUGGAAUGACUUAGUCACUCAGUAGUCUGUGUUUUCCUGAGGAGAGGUAAGA